Molecule: long non-coding RNA, 943 nt
Organism: Oncorhynchus kisutch (coho salmon)
Lineage: Eukaryota; Metazoa; Chordata; Actinopteri; Salmoniformes; Salmonidae
Exons: 2
Source: RefSeq, a predicted model, not a curated record
UUGGCUAUUGUAAGCUGGGACUGUCUGUUUCAUUCAACUAGAAUCUUAAAAAUUCUGGGUUGCAGACUGAGUAGUUGAAUUGAAGUUCAGUUUAUGAACAUUGAUAACAUAAUUCUCGUAACAGUGGGAAGGAUGGCCAGCCACACAAGAGGGGGAUUUUUACUAAGGAGGCGGUGCUGACUGAGGUGCAUGCUGGCCAUUUCGGAGUGAAGAGCAUGAUUGGCAAAAUCAACCUACGCUUCUGAUGGGGAAUUGUCAAGGAGGUGGACAGCUGGUCAAGUGAAAUAACCUUUUGUUUAUCAAUCACAUUUAUUAUAUCUGAAAUUAUUAUGAUUUCAAUUACUGUCAUAUCGGAGCGCACACAAUGUUUCAAUUUGUCCAUUUUUGCUUAAAAAGGUCAGUACCCUGUUAAGCCUGACAAAAGUUUGAGAGGGUGAAGACUAUGGCGCAGGAGUUGAAACCCAUCAAAGUUGUUUUACCAUGGCACAUGAUCGGGGUGGACCUCAUCGGACCCUUCACGAAAUCCAGGAAUGGCAACAGCUGGUGUCUGACGGAGACCAAUCACUUUACCAAGUGGGUGGAGGUAAUACCCAUUAUUAAGGUCAGUAAAGGAAGAGUAUGUGCUUAACUCUAAAUUCCCUUCUGUAACCCAUUAAAAAGGGUGAUUGGAACCAAAAAUAGAUUUUAGUUUUGUAUGAUACCAAUCAAGGACGAGACUAGCGAGGCCACCUCCAAGGCGAUGGUGGACAUCUUCAACACCUGCCGCCAAGGAGGUAUCUCGUCCACCAGAACAAGUGAGUUUGGAUCAGUCUGAUUCUCUGAGUCGGAGUGGGACCAGCUUGAGGCAGGCUAUACCUUCCAAAAGUGUUGAACAGUACAUAUCUCCCAUUUUAUAACACUGCACUAAUCCAUUACAUUUUCUCACAAUAAAGUGUAACCUGCU